UUAUCGUUAUUAUUAUUAUCAUUAUCAUUAUUAUUAUUGUUUUACUUCUCAGAGGGCUUGGUCUUGUUUGCUCUGAUUGAUUCUGUCAGAGCGGACAGCAGCCUGUUGUCAGAGGUCUUACAGGAUCUCUUUCCGCACAUUAUAAGCUUAGAUACUUGGUUGUUAAUUAUCACGGGA
Long non-coding RNA from Octopus sinensis (East Asian common octopus), 177 nucleotides. RefSeq lists it as uncharacterized. NCBI's taxonomy places the organism in Eukaryota, Metazoa, Mollusca, Cephalopoda, Octopoda, Octopodidae. The transcript is spliced from 3 exons. The record is from RefSeq and is a predicted model, not a curated record.